This 76-nucleotide transfer RNA is filed under the name Acidimicrobiia bacterium. RNAcentral describes it as "tRNA-Arg". It matches the Rfam family "tRNA". Rfam says of the family: Transfer RNA (tRNA) molecules are approximately 80 nucleotides in length. Their secondary structure includes four short double-helical elements and three loops (D, anti-codon, and T loops). Lineage: Bacteria; Bacillati; Actinomycetota; Acidimicrobiia. The record is from RNAcentral.
GCUCCCGUAGCUCAGGGGAUAGAGCACCGGUUUCCUAAACCGGGUGUCGGAGGUUCGAAUCCUCCCGGGAGCGCCA